UACGGAGGGGGUUAGCGUUGUUCGGAAUCACUGGGCGUAAAGCGCUCGCAGGCGGGUGCGGAAGUCGGGGGUGAAAGGCCGGGGCUCAACCCCGGAUCGUUCUCUCGAUACUCCGUGCCUAGGGACCGGUAGAGGCCAGUAGAAUUCCCGGAGUAGCGGUGGAAUGCGUAGAUAUCGGGAAGAAUACCAGAGGCGAAGGCGACUGGCUGGGCCGGCUCCGACGCUCAGGAGCGAAAGCGUGGGGAGCAAACAGG
This 254-nucleotide unclassified non-coding RNA is filed under the name uncultured Gemmatimonadota bacterium. RNAcentral describes it as "uncultured Gemmatimonadetes bacterium contains 16S-23S intergenic spacer region". It matches the Rfam family "Bacterial small subunit ribosomal RNA", at positions 524 to 776 of the family's 1533-position model. The record is from RNAcentral. Lineage: Bacteria; Pseudomonadati; Gemmatimonadota.